Molecule: ribosomal RNA, 412 nt
Filed under: uncultured archaeon
Lineage: Archaea
Description: bacterial SSU rRNA
Rfam family: Archaeal small subunit ribosomal RNA
Source: RNAcentral
CAAGUGGUAGCCAGAGAUUAUUGGGUCUAAAGCGUCCGUAGCCGGCCAGGUAAGUUCUCUUGGUAAAUUUAGCCGCUCAACGGUUAAGCUUUCAGGGAAUACUGCUUGGCUUGGGACCGGGAGAGGUCAGAGGUACUUCAAGGGUAGGGGUGAAAUCCGUUAAUCCUUGAGGGACCACCAGUAGCGAAGGCGUCUGACCAGACCGGGUCCGACGGUGAGGGACGAAGGCUAGGGUCGCGAACCGGAUUAGAUACCCGGGUAGUCCUAGCUGUAAACGAUGCGGGCCAGGUGUUGGCAUUACUGCGAGUGAUGUCAGUGCCGAAGGGAAGCCGUUAAGCCCGCCAUCUGGGGAGUACGGUCGCAAGGCUGAAACUUAAAGGAAUUGGCGGGGGAGCACCACCAACUGGUGAGC